CUCCUUUAUUAUAUUUGGGAUAAUUUCCCACCCCACAGCUAAUACUUGCCACAUCACUCAAGAAACUUGCUAGAAACAACGGACAAUUUCAGCCGAAGGGCUCAACUCUGGCUAAUAUUUAUCAAAUAUACCAAUGUAGGGCCAAAUACUACUGAAAAGUAACGAGCUUACCUCGGUUGAUGUAAAUUGGGCUUAUUCUGAAGCCUUUACUUCACUGAAGGUAGAAGGACAGAAUAAGGAGAGUAGGGGCGAGUGCAUGGGCUUGAGACGUCUUUUUGUUUUUGCCGUUAGUUUUUCAGCUGGUUUUAGAGGUUUUUUCAGGUGGUGUUAGUGGGUAGUUUACGGUGUCUUCAAGACUAUUUUGAGGUCAUUUUGGGGUGGAGAAGAGGGACUUGUUUGAGGGCAGCGUUGUUCUGUUGGAUGUUCUUUUCACUUGGAUCAAUUUUUAUCAGGUCUUUCUAGUUAAUUAGUUGAUCAAAGUGAUGGAUCUAAGUGAUAAAGAUUCGGGAUCUAAGGAUAUGAUGAGCCAAACAGAAAGAGAAAACAGCCAAAGCCAACUCAAGACAUGUGCUGACUGUGGUACCACCAAAAUGUCCACCUAUAAUUAAGUCAUUAUGUAAUGCGUAAGGGAUCAGGAGCAGGAAGAAGAGAAGAGCACUUCUCGGAUUGAACAAAGAUGUAAUUAAUUAUAGGUGGAAAAUAGAAAUAAGGUGGACCACGUUUGUAUACUGUCAAAAUCGGGCUUGCCUAAUUUUGUACGACUAACCAAAGUCGGGACGGAAGAUUAAGGCCCGACCCAGUUAUAUCGGAACGAGUUACGGAGAUGGAUUGAUAAGCUCGUGGAUCAAUGGCCGAUCAAGAUCAAGAACAACCAUGAUCGAGAACAAAGUAAGAAAGAGAUCGAGCAAGAUGAAAGGAAGCCUGCUACAAUGGAUAAAAUAAAGCCGAGAUAUCCGUGAUCGGGCGAGGAUCGUGACAGAAAUCUCGGCAGAUAUUGAGUCAGGAUUGGAAGUUUAGCCUAUCAUGAGAUUUACUUAUGUAAUUAGAAUUGUACCAUAAAUAUGAUUUCUCUACUAUAUAAAGGGGGUCCUAAUCAUUUUGUAAAGAGAUACAUUCACGCAUAUCAAAGUAGUAUUGUCACACCCCAAGUUUUCAUACAUGAGAGUACAUCGUAAGUCAUUGAUGUAAGCUCGGAAAUGAGA
Molecule: long non-coding RNA, 1202 nt
Organism: Nicotiana tabacum (common tobacco)
Lineage: Eukaryota; Viridiplantae; Streptophyta; Magnoliopsida; Solanales; Solanaceae
Source: RefSeq, a predicted model, not a curated record